ACAGUCGUGGCCGAGUGAUUAAGGCGAUGGACUAGAAAUUUAUUGGGUCUCCCCGCACACGCUCGAAUCCUGUCGACUGCA
RNAcentral lists this transfer RNA (81 nucleotides) under Ixodes scapularis (black-legged tick). It matches the Rfam family "tRNA". Rfam says of the family: Transfer RNA (tRNA) molecules are approximately 80 nucleotides in length. Their secondary structure includes four short double-helical elements and three loops (D, anti-codon, and T loops). The record is from Rfam by way of RNAcentral. Lineage: Eukaryota; Metazoa; Arthropoda; Arachnida; Ixodida; Ixodidae.